Triticum aestivum (bread wheat) is the source of this 3654-nucleotide long non-coding RNA. RefSeq lists it as uncharacterized. The record is from RefSeq and is a predicted model, not a curated record. The transcript is spliced from 19 exons. Lineage: Eukaryota; Viridiplantae; Streptophyta; Magnoliopsida; Poales; Poaceae.
GAGGAGGGUCCCCGAUUGGGUGAGAACCCUAGCCCAUUCUCCCCUUCUCCACCGUAGCUGUCGCCGCCAUGGUCCCGUCCUCCUCUCCUCCCCAUACAUCUCCCAGCGCCGAGUUCGCUGCCUUAGCUGCUCUCCCCACUAGCCAGCAUGCCGUCGACGGCCAACCGGGCCGCCGCACGCAGGAAGGAAGAGCAGCAGCAGCCGGGACGAGGGCGGGGAUGGAGAACGCGGCGUCCAUCUAGCGGAGCCUUCGUCCAUCCCUCACCCCUGAUGCCGCCGUCCUUCCUCCUCCCCAUCGGGGCUAGGCAGAGGAGGAGGAGCGCCGGCCACGAGCACGACGAGGAGGCGGCCGGCAUCACUGUGCGUCGCCCGACCAAGGUCUUCUCCCACUACUCUGGGUCGCGCGCCGCCUCUGUCGCCGACAGGAGGGAGCCGCGGCAGCCGCCACGCAUCCCGGCGACCAGGGCCCCCCCGGCGUGGUUCCCUCAACGGAGGGAUGCUUCCUCCGUCCACUGCCUGCUCCGUGCCGACACCAUCAGUAGCGGCGGCGGUCAGGCUGAUGCGGACUCCGCGCCACCACCGACGGCUUCGCCACGGACCGCAUCGUCUCCGACCAUGGCGAAAAGGCGCCCAUCGUCGUCUACAGCGGCACCCUCUUCGGCCCUGACCUAGGUGCGUGAGCUCACCACCGUCCGCCUCGAGGUCAUGUUUCCCUCUCCCUCGAGUUCAACGCGUGUGUGACCGUGUGAUGGAUUGCAUUAGACGUGUUGCAGUCACCGGGAUGCUCAUUGCGCUCGUUGGAUUCGGGCUCUACAAGCUUCGAUUCCCAAGUGUCAUGAAAUGUAUCAAAAUCGGUCUUCCAGAGAUCAUACUGUUGGUAGCUCUUUCCCAGUACAUACCUCAUCCGGUGCCUUUGCUGGGCACUGCCUUUGAGGGGUUCGCCGUCAUAAUGUCCGUUGCUGUCUUGUGGCUUUAUGCAUUCUUCCUGACGGUUGGCAGGGCGUAUAAGAAUGCUGCUCCACCUGACCAUCCCAAUACUGCAGGAGUGAUCGGUACAGCCAAUGCAUCGCUACUAGAGUACUGGCCCUUUUGGUGUUAGUAUGGCUGGAUUAUUUGCUUCUUUCAUGAUGAAGAAAUGGCCAUAGCCAUGGGAGUUUCCUCUUGGCGAUGAUAGCCGGUUCGUGCUGUACGGCUUGGUUGAGCUCAAGGUCAAUGGAUACGGCAAUUGUCAGCUAUUUUGUGUUUCUGGUUCUAUAUAUAUACUGGUUGGAUGUUGACAAACAAUUUCCAUGCCUUCUUUUUCUAUGGGUGUAUGCUCAGCCAGGGUUAGAAGCAGUGGGUCAUCCUCGACCUCACGCCGCCCAUCUAGACAGAAGAAGAUGGGUGCUGCAGGUGACGAGGCUGACGCGCCAUCGUCCUGUCUUCUGUGAGGGGAUCCAUCAUGAGGAACCAGCGGACGCGAUACGGGUACCCGAUCCUUACUGCGGAAUCACCUCUUCUUGUGGAUGGUUGCUGAACAGCAGCAGUUCCAUCUCCAUCCCCAACGCAUCCUUGCCUCAUCUUGAUCUGCAAUGAACCAGAGCUCAUAGAAAGAGAUUUGAUGUGAUGAUUGAGGUGGAAGGCUACCUUAACCUAUGGAUCAAAGAUUGAUCAAGAAAGACAAAUUGUCUCAUGCUUCAAGUACCAAGAAGAUAAUUUCUUGCAAGAUAAGGAAAAAUGGUGUUGUGUCCCUUGGCGAAUGUAGUGAUGGACUGGUCUUUGGCACUUCUCAGUCGACCAGGUAAUAUACAUCCUCCAACCUUACCAGCUACAUAAUUUUGUGGGGUUCUCCAGUUUAAUUCUUUAUAAAAUUUGAUAACCUGCCCAAGGUCCGGAUUCACCUAGCACAACCGGAGACAUGGUCGGUUGCCUGUUGGUCUGAAACUACACAAAUUCUCUGAAACCCACUAGCCAAGACAGGCGACUGCCCUUUGUCACAUGCUUGAAUCGAUUUGGGCAUAGCAGUCUGGACAGGAAGUUAGUUUUAAGUGGGUGUAGGGCUCUACGCUCUCUCAUCUUGGUUUUGAUGGCAGGAUAAUCAUACUCAAGUCUGAUUGUACGAUGGCUCCUGUGGAUGCUCUGGUUGUUGGAGAGAUUCUGUCUGUAGAGGAUGUUUUUCAGCGCUUGAUCAGCUACGAUGAAGAGCAAUGCCUUGAAACAUUUCUUUGUGGUCUCUGCACAAUUUAUUUCAGUGAGCACCCAGUAAGGGAGAACACUACUCAUACCAUAUAUAUUGGACACUGAGUUGGUGCUCCAUGGAGCAAGGGCACCAAGAUUUAUGCACAAAUCCAAACCAAAUUUGGUAUAGUUUUUGGAAAUUUAAUUCUGGGGUCGACGCCACCGUGGCAGUGUUCUUCGGCACUCGGGUCAACAUAGUAGGUUUCUCCUUGUCAUUGACAGCAUCGGUUAGCAUAGGGGCAGCGGUCGCGGUCACGGUCACCCGAGGAGCACAGCCACACGGGGCUGGUCCUGCUGCCACCAGAGAAGAGCGGAGGAGGUCGAUACAGGGUCGAGGAGGGGCACGGGCGAGGUUCAUGCCGCACGGGGGCACGCGGCGUCCAGCGAGAGAAGGCUUCUCCUGUUCCCGUGCCGCCAGGCACCCCUCACCGCCGCCCUACUUGUCCUCCGGUCGUCGGUGCUCUGUUGGUUACUGGAUUUUGCUUAUCUGCCGGCAGACCGCACCGGAGGCCGCCGCCAUAUAGGGGCUGAUGAGGGCAUCGUGAUGAGGUUGCCGCUUUUGCCAUAGCAGAGAGGAUCCAGCCGGCACGCUGCGUCUCCCAUAAACAUGCCUAAUUUUAUAUGCAGAGGAAUGUAUCCAUGAACUGGGAAACCUGUGAACUCUUUGAUACGCCUUUUAUGUGUUGCUUUUGGUCUUGAUAGAGGGAGAUACAUUGACAGGAAGUGCUCACUCGCUAGAAUUGUUUCUAUCAGGGGCAGAAUUAUUGUUGAAACACGCACCGUGUGAAGAUGAAUAGGAACCUUUCAUAAUUAUUCCCAAACAUGCCACUGUGUCAUCAUUGGCCAGUGCAGGAACUCUUAGAUUAUACAAGUCCCUAUGUUUGUUUGGAUUCAUGAACCAUGGGACUAGACUUUCAUUCGAUGCCACUAGCUCUUGUGAUGCACCGUGUAAACUACCAUGUGAUCUCCCUCUUCUUUUGUGAAUGCGUCCCUUUUGUCACAUCUAUCCAUCCUUUUGUACUUGAUAUCUACCGUGUAUGAACAAUUGUACCUUUAAUUUACCAUGUAUAUGGACAUUGCAUCCUCAAAUGUGUUGUGUUGUCGUUCUGUUGGCUAUGGAGAUGUGUUGUACUACAGUUUUGGUAUCCAUCUAUGAUGUCUUGCUCCUAUUACAUGUGAAUAUUUCUUCUUUCCUUUAUUCUGAUAAAUCCUGGCUUUCUACUAACUUUGACCAUUACUUGCUUCGCCACAUCGUUGGAACCGGCACCCUCGCGCCAAGGCGCGAUGCCGAUCUCGUGAGAAAAGAUGUCUCCUCUAGUAGGGAGGCGCUUCUGGUGUCUUCAUCAAUCUCAAUAUGAAGUACCGGCUUGGUCUCUCGGAGGAUUUCCGGCGGUGUGCAUUCGUGGGAGGAGACGUUCCCGUCGACGAAGAGGCGCC